GCGGUUAACUUAUCUAUGUCAUGCCAGCAUGAAAACGCAGGCAAAAGCUUUUUCAAAACAUGAGUUGAAAGUUUUUAAUAGAAAUACUUUCAUGUAUUCAAGUGUUCAAUCAGAAUAUAUCAUAGUUAGAAUAUUUAAAUAAAAUUUACCGACAAGUUUAGGAGGUUAGGAUAGAUUUCACUUAUAAAGUAAUAUACGUACCACUUUUCCUACCUUGUUAUUUUUCUGUAAGAUACAUAUAUACAUUUUUUUUUUUUUCAUUAUUUAAGGUACAUAUAUGCACCUAUUGGGAACCCUCUACCAAAGGCAAAAGGGGUGGUAAAAUUGGACGUGUCCAUAUCAGAAAUUGAUCAACGCGAUUGCAUAGUGGCCACAAGAAUUUUUGGACCAAACUGUUUUCUGUAGUGAGCCCUUCUUUGUGGCAAAGGACCCUAACAAUGUAUCUGCAGCUAAUGAAGACAAUGGCUAUGUGGUGUGUUAUAUGCAUAAUGAGAGCACAAGAGAAUCAAGUUUCAUUGUAAUGGAUGCCAAGUCUCAUGAUCUUGAAAUUGUGGCUGCUGUGAAAUUGCCUCGUCGAGUGCCUUAUGGAUUUCAUGGGAGAUUCGUGAAGGAAAGUGAUCUCAACACGCUAUGGAAAGUCGACGGCUCAGGUUUGCUUGAAUUAGGCUUCAAUCUGAAGUAAAUUUAGGUCGAUUAUAUGAACUUUCACUAUUUUGGCAUAUUAAGCUGCUUGUAUUAGUCUUGUGUAUAUGUAUAGUGUGUAUUUUUCAUAAUUGCAUUUGUU
Long non-coding RNA from Capsicum annuum, 784 nucleotides. RefSeq lists it as uncharacterized. Lineage: Eukaryota; Viridiplantae; Streptophyta; Magnoliopsida; Solanales; Solanaceae. The transcript has 2 exons. The record is from RefSeq and is a predicted model, not a curated record.